Long non-coding RNA from Passer domesticus (house sparrow), 2709 nucleotides. RefSeq lists it as uncharacterized. The transcript has 6 exons. Lineage: Eukaryota; Metazoa; Chordata; Aves; Passeriformes; Passeridae. The record is from RefSeq and is a predicted model, not a curated record.
GUAGUAUUGCACACACAGCAGCAAAUAUAGUUCACAACUUAAGAUCACCAUAAAAAGAAGCUCUCCAAUCAUGACAAUAAGAUCCACCCAUAAGAGAGGCUGUGCUCCUGGCUGAAGAUGUCUGGACAGAGUCCCAGAUGGGGGGCUGUGACAAAAGGAAGAAUUCCUUGUGCUUCAUCAUGGAGGCUACAUGGCAACACCUGUGUAUUCUGUGGAUAUCACCAGUGCUUUCAGAAAUGGGGCAUCCGAAGAGGAGCCUAUUCUUGAGCAGAAAUCCAGGUACAGGACAGCACUAAUAGCUGAUGGAAGAGCCCCUUUUACUCUUUGACACAAAAUUUUCACAGACAUCAACAAGACAGUCCUUGUAUGAAACCCAGGGAGGUAUAAUGAAUACUAUUUAUAAAGACAGAAUGACAAGAUUAUUGGAAUGAAUGCUGUAUGAACUGUACAGCUUAAGGAAUAAAAUUCCAGUGCUGAAUUAGUCUCUGGACUGACAGAAAUGAGUGAAGAGGCUCUGUCAAAUAAGGAUACAAGAUGGACACUGCCCUAAGAAUCCACAAUCCAGAAGAAUAGUCAGUCCCGCACUAUUGCAUUUAUGGCUUGAAGGGUCAACAUCCCUGAUAGUUGAUAAAACAGAUAAGUACAAGAAUCCACAAUUUCACCAGUCAAGACAGAUUGUGCAAGAGCUAAAACUACACUCUCCUUGGAAUUUUCUCUUAAAUGCUAUGGAAGAAUAAAAGAGCUAUGCCAAAAGAAAAGUGAAAACUGCAUACAAAAUAUUUUCUACUCAGUAAUACUAGUCACAAUUCUCUGUUGUUUUCAUUAAACUAAAAAAAAAAAAAGUAAGAUCCAGUUAUAUGCAUUUGAACAACGAAACUGGAUUUAACACCUUCCUAAAGCAAAUGAAUAAAAUCACUAAUGUUGAAGAGAUGGUGCCAUUUUUGAAAAGAUUUUAAUAUAAUUCUUCCCUUUGAUUAUUCAAAUGCUUUUAAGACAUUCUAUAAACCAAAAAGUAGUUGUUUUCUGGAGUGGUAGAUAAACACAAUAUAACCUCUUACAUUAUGCUGGCUUUUAAAUAAGGACUUGUCUAAAAGUAAAAUUUGUAUCAUUACCCUGUGAUUUAGUAGAAUCUUAUUUCAUGAGUAUUCUUGUUUGGUCAGAUUAUAAAUCAUUUAUUAGCAUUAAUAUUCAGUAAUUCACAUGUUUUAUCCCACCUAAAGAUUUCAGAUCUGCAGCACUGUGUCAGUUUUGCUGCGAGUGCAAUAUGGAAGUAAUCUAUAAAAGUACUGACAUAAAAAUCUGAUUUAGAAUGGUGUGGCUGAAUGUUCUGAACAAUUUAGAGUCUGAGAUAAAGCACUCUAAGUUCAAGGUGGUAUUUCUGGCAGCUGCACUGAGUACUUUUUGUAGGAUGUGUGAACAGCCCAGACCUCUUGAAUCACUGCUGAUGCUACCCAGACAGAUCAUAGCUGUGCUGAGUGGGCAUAGUCUGUACACAAAAGCAACUCAAUUCAUUCCACAACUUUGCAGUCCAGAUCAAUAUAAACACUGAUAUAUCUCCACCACAUUCUCAACACUUCUGUGUGACAAAAACAGUCUCCUAAAAUCCUAUAAAAAGGAAACUCCUCUCAAUGGAAUGCAUCAAGCUCAAAUGUGAUAAAUUUUCAAUUGUCUUACAUUUUUUAACUGUUUAAUCAGCACUCCUUUUUUUCCACCUCCCACCAAAUCCAGGCUGUUACCUAGCAAAGUGGAUUAUCAUUGCUAUGCAGUGCAUAACAACUGAUGAAAAUGGUCAGAUUAUAGAGUUUAACAAUGCAUGGUGAAGGAUGUUUCAUUUUAUUUUAUUUUAGAAUGACUUUUAUGACAGCAUGUGCUGGCAGAUCAUGUUGAUUAAACAACUGAUAAUGCCAUGUUGUAAACACUGAGAUUCUUGGUACUCCAUGCAGAAUUAGCACUAGAAACUGAACUGGGCUGCUCCUUUCUGAACAUAGUCUUACUGAAAAAACAUCAGAAUCCCAUUAUUGUUUAUACUCUGUGAUAACUACAGAGUAUGCUGUACUUAACUUUUCAGAGAGACAAAAAAGUGAAGCCUAGUCUCUAGCUUUCUGAUCAUAGAGAUUUUUUUAACCUAUUUUUUAAAAUUCUGAUGUCAUGUAUGAGUUCACUAUAUGGAAAAAUGCUUUUAUGUUGCUUCAGUUCAUUACUCUGUACUGAUAUUAUCACAAGAAUGUUAUUAACUUGGUUUUUUUUAUAAUUAAUAUUGAUUGUGUGUUAGUCUGUGAGCAAGUAAAAUGGCCUUCAGUUCCAGUCUGUAGAAAACCUACUCAGAAAUUUAAUAGAUAUUUCUUUUCACAUCUUUUAACUCGCUUAAUGGUGCAUCUCUCUUGCCCAAAGCAUUUCAUAUUUCAGUUAGAAGGUGAGGAGUAAAGGAGGCAACUAGUUUAACCAUUGUCUAUCCAAUUUUCAUGCUUCCAGCAUUUUUAAACUUCUAGCUGAAUCUUUCCAAGAUACUUUCCCAAAAAGAAGACACAACUUGAGAAAAUUAAAGAGAAUGUGAAUGUAUCUCUUGAAGGCCCAAAAGACCAUUUUACACUUGUUGUUUGAUUAUUUGUAUUUGUUCCUUUCAGUGUUUUGUCAAAUCUACCAUGGUCUAAUAAAGAGAGGCAAAUCACUACUCUUCUUGCUUUUCAGGAAUGCCUCAAUAAAGCCAUA